GCAAUCUGCCCUUCACUCUGGGACAAGCCCUGGAAACGGGGUCUAAUACCGGAUAAUACUCUGUCCCGCAUGGGACGGGGUUGAAAGCUCCGGCGGUGAAGGAUGAGCCCGCGGCCUAUCAGCUUGUUGGUGGGGUAAUGGCCUACCAAGGCGACGACGGGUAGCCGGCCUGAGAGGGCGACCGGCCACACUGGGACUGAGACACGGCCCAGACUCCUACGGGAGGCAGCAGUGGGGAAUAUUGCACAAUGGGCGAAAGCCUGAUGCAGCGACGCCGCGUGAGGGAUGACGGCCUUCGGGUUGUAAACCUCUUUCAGCAGGGAAGAAGCGAAAGUGACGGUACCUGCAGAAGAAGCGCCGGCUAACUACGUGCCAGCAGCCGCGGUAAUACGUAGGGCGCAAGCGUUGUCCGGAAUUAUUGGGCGUAAAGAGCUCGUAGGCGGCUUGUCACGUCGGAUGUGAAAGCCCGGGGCUUAACCCCGGGUCUGCAUUCGAUACGGGCUAGCUAGAGUGUGGUAGGGGAGAUCGGAAUUCCUGGUGUAGCGGUGAAAUGCGCAGAUAUCAGGAGGAACACCGGUGGCGAAGGCGGAUCUCUGGGCCAUUACUGACGCUGAGGAGCGAAAGCGUGGGGAGCGAACAGGAUUAGAUACCCUGGUAGUCCACGCCGUAAACGUUGGGAACUAGGUGUUGGCGACAUUCC
Molecule: ribosomal RNA, 700 nt
Filed under: Streptomyces badius
Lineage: Bacteria; Bacillati; Actinomycetota; Actinomycetes; Kitasatosporales; Streptomycetaceae
Description: bacterial SSU rRNA
Rfam family: Bacterial small subunit ribosomal RNA
Source: RNAcentral